RNAcentral lists this ribosomal RNA (210 nucleotides) under Escherichia coli. RNAcentral's name for it is "partial 23S ribosomal RNA". It matches the Rfam family "Bacterial large subunit ribosomal RNA", at positions 1138 to 1346 of the family's 2925-position model. The record is from RNAcentral. Lineage: Bacteria; Pseudomonadati; Pseudomonadota; Gammaproteobacteria; Enterobacterales; Enterobacteriaceae.
UAGCUCACUGGUCGAGUCGGCCUGCGCGGAAGAUGUAACGGGGCUAAACCAUGCACCGAAGCUGCGGCAGCGACGCUUAUGCGUUGUUGGGUAGGGGAGCGUUCUGUAAGCCUUUGAAGGUGUACUGUGAGGUAUGCUGGAGGUAUCAGAAGUGCGAAUGCUGACAUAAGUAACGAUAAAGCGGGUGAAAAGCCCGCUCGCCGGAAGACC